This is a long non-coding RNA of Daphnia carinata, 556 nucleotides long. RefSeq lists it as uncharacterized. The record is from RefSeq and is a predicted model, not a curated record. The transcript is spliced from 2 exons. NCBI's taxonomy places the organism in Eukaryota, Metazoa, Arthropoda, Branchiopoda, Diplostraca, Daphniidae.
AACAUCGCAGUUGAUCGAAAACACGUUGUAAUGUCAUAACAAAUUCGAGAUCUGUGUAAAUGCAAACUUCGUGAUACCACAUACUUUGAGAAUUACUAUAAGCAUCCUACCAUUUUCGGAGAACAUUCUACAGAUCCUCAAUGAGUUAAUUGAACAGGCGGUUGUGCGGGUUCUAAUGUUACUACCCCUUGCCCAAUACUAGAUUGGUUCAACGAGAUAUUUCCUGUGCUUUGGGUGGAACCAAUAUUUCGGCCGACUAAACAUUUUGCAAAUUACCACAUUUUGCAAUUUACCACAUUUUGGUGGGAACUUGGUUGUUGGUUUUCAUGGACUGCUUUCCAAACAGGCACAUGAUCAUGUGCUCAAUGUAGUCAACGCUUUGUCAUAAACUCCAAGAAAGAUAGCUCCGCCAAUUGAUAUCCAAAGAACUCGCAGGACAAUCCCUGCAAAAUGUCUGCUAACUGGAAAAAGAAUGUCAAUCAGUCAUGUUGAUGGCAAAAUUUUAGUUGCAUUACCCUUGGAUUCCCUGUGCAAAAUAAAUGCUUCUUAAAACUAA